UUAAUUUCAACAUAUAUUAAUACAUUUUUAAAAUCAGAAGUUGCAUUGGUUAACAUUAAUGAAUUAACAUCAACUAACAAUGAACAAUUGCAUUUUUAUUAACUAACUAACAUUAACAAAGAUUAAUGAAUGCUGUAAAAAUCUAAACAAUCCGAAACAAUGUGUCAUCUUUAACCGAACAUGACAAUAAUCUUAAAACGACUGUAGAAAGGCUACAGAAAUACGGGGUAUUAAAUUGUCUGAUUUAAAGAUUUUAUGAAGUGUUGAUUGAUAGAAUAUAUUGUAUUGAUGAUGUAAACAUUGUCAUUGUUUUCUAUGCUGUUGACUGGGACGUUCUAAAGAAGGAAUAGACCGUCAGGAGAUCACUGUGGUGGUUAGUCAAGCACUUCAGAGCAUACAUCAGGAGAAAAGAGUCUGUGGAGAAUAUCCAACUGUUGCAGAUCAAGACAGAAAUAUUAAAGCUAACAGGGGAAGACAAACUGCUCUGAAGGCCAGGAGAAGAGAGGAAGCUAAAGAAGCAAAAAAGACAGAUGCUAAAAGUGGAAAAUAUUUCGUUUUCAGAAAUUCAGAACACAAAUGAAGAUUUUAGAAGAAUAUUUCAGCUCUGUUGGUUCAUACACUGCAAGUGAGUGCUGACCAGAACUUUGAAGCCCCAAAAAAGCACAUAAAGUCAGCAUAAAAGUAAUCCAUAAGACUCCAGUGGUUUAAUCCAUGUCUUCAGAAGAGACAUCUGGGAUGUCAUGAGGGUGAGUGAAUGAUGAGAACAUUUAUUUUUGGGUGAACUACUGUAUUCCGUUCACAUUUAUUUCUGAUUUAUGGAAAGCCAUGAAAUGCCAGGUAAAAAAAAAAAAUUUACUUGGUGACAUUUUUUUACGUGUCUUAGUGCCACAUCAAAAAUAAAAAAGCUACGAUUCAAGAAUAAAGUCUUAAAUAAAUGACAAAAUAAAUUACAUUUCCUACAUAACCGCUGCAGUGUCUGGAUACUAAUAAUAACUCAAACAAAGAUUUCUUUAUUGCUAUGUCAAACCUUAAAAUAUGAUUUCACUAAAUCGUCCACAUCUAUUUCUUGCAUUAAUGAAGUUCUCAUAAUGCUACAACUUUAUUCUUGAAACUUUGUCUUUAUUCUUGUAAAAGGCAUGUUAUGAGACUUUAUUCUCA
Myxocyprinus asiaticus (Chinese sucker) is the source of this 1158-nucleotide long non-coding RNA. RefSeq lists it as uncharacterized. The record is from RefSeq and is a predicted model, not a curated record. NCBI's taxonomy places the organism in Eukaryota, Metazoa, Chordata, Actinopteri, Cypriniformes, Catostomidae. The transcript has 3 exons.